GACGAACGCUGGGCGUGCUUAACACAUGCAAGUCGACCGGAAAGGCCCUGCUUUUGUGGGGUGCUCGAGUGGCGAACGGGUGAGUAACACGUGAGUAACCUGCCCUUGACUUUGGGAUAACUUCAGGAAACUGGGGCUAAUACCGGAUAGGAGCUCCUGCUGCAUGGUGGGGGUUGGAAAGUUUCGGCGGUUGGGGAUGGACUCGCGGCUUAUCAGCUUGUUGGUGGGGUAGUGGCUUACCAAGGCUUUGACGGGUAGCCGGCCUGAGAGGGUGACCGGCCACAUUGGGACUGAGAUACGGCCCAGACUCCUACGGGAGGCAGCAGUGGGGAAUAUUGCACAAUGGGCGGAAGCCUGAUGCAGCAACGCCGCGUGCGGGAUGACGGCCUUCGGGUUGUAAACCGCUUUCGCCUGUGACGAAGCGUGAGUGACGGUAAUGGGUAAAGAAGCACCGGCUAACUACGUG
Molecule: ribosomal RNA, 466 nt
Filed under: uncultured bacterium
Lineage: Bacteria
Description: partial 16S ribosomal RNA
Rfam family: Bacterial small subunit ribosomal RNA
Source: RNAcentral